AGGUCGAACAGACCUUCUUUAUAUAACCUCUUCAUUAUAUAGAUUUUUUAAUUCAACAUCGAGGUCGCAACCUUCCCCUUCGAUAAGAACUCUCAAAGGAAAUUACGCUGUUAUCCCUAAAGUAACUUAGCCUACUAAUCUUCAAAAAGGAUCUUUCUACAAACUUAUCACUAAUAAUUGUAUAACUAUUAAGCAGUUAAAAUAAAUUUUACUUAUGUCUCCCCAACAUAACAAAUAAAUUAAAUUAAAUUUUUAUAUUAUAAAUUCACUAAAAUAUAACUACAAUGUAAAGUUUUAUAGGGUCUUAUCGUCCCCCUAGUUUAUUUAAGCCUUUUCACUUAAAAGUUAAAUUCAACAUCAAUAUAAAGAGAGUCAUUCUUUUGUCUAGCCAUUCAUACAAGAUUCCAAUUAAAAACCUAAUGAUUAUGCUACCUUUGCACAGUUAUUAAUACUGCGGCCCUUUAAUUUAAAAUCAGGGGGCAGGCCAAAUUAUUUAUAUCUACAAACAAAC
RNAcentral lists this ribosomal RNA (511 nucleotides) under Geothelphusa sakamotoana. RNAcentral describes it as "partial 16S ribosomal RNA". Lineage: Eukaryota; Metazoa; Arthropoda; Malacostraca; Decapoda; Potamidae. The record is from RNAcentral.